This 253-nucleotide ribosomal RNA is filed under the name uncultured bacterium. RNAcentral's name for it is "partial 16S ribosomal RNA". It matches the Rfam family "Bacterial small subunit ribosomal RNA", at positions 524 to 776 of the family's 1533-position model. The record is from RNAcentral.
UACGUAGGGCGCGAGCGUUGUCCGGAAUUAUUGGGCGUAAAGAGCUCGUAGGCGGUCUGUCGCGUCGGAUGUGAAAGCCCGGGGCUUAACCCCGGGUCUGCAUUCGAUACGGGCAGACUAGAGUGUGGUAGGGGAGACUGGAAUUCCUGGUGUAGCGGUGGAAUGCGCAGAUAUCAGGAGGAACACCGGUGGCGAAGGCGGGUCUCUGGGCCGUAACUGACGCUGAGGAGCGAAAGCAUGGGGAGCGAACAGG